Molecule: ribosomal RNA, 203 nt
Filed under: uncultured bacterium
Lineage: Bacteria
Description: partial 16S ribosomal RNA
Rfam family: Bacterial small subunit ribosomal RNA
Source: RNAcentral
UGCAGGCUGCAACCCGCCUGCAUGAAGCUGGAAUCGCUAGUAAUCGCGGAUCAGAAUGCCGCGGUGAAUACGUUCCCGGGUCUUGUACACACCGCCCGUCACACCAUGGGAGUCGGUAACACCCGAAGUCCGUAGUCUAACCAUUAAGGAGGACGCGGCCGAAGGUGGGUUUGGUAAUUGGGGUGAAGUCGUAACAAGGUAAC